UGGUCCCAUGGUCUAGUGGUCAGGACAUUGGACUCUGAAUCCAGUAACCCGAGUUCAAAUCUCGGUGGGACCUUUUGUUCUCUUCUAUUUCCCGUUUUCAUAAACCGAGGGCACUAACGUCAUUACGUAACCUCAGCUAAACAGAGAGAGGACAUGACGCGUGUUCAUUGUUCUACUAAGCUCAACGGAUUAGGCGCGCAAGAUAGCAAAACAAAGUAACA
Lupinus albus (white lupine) is the source of this 221-nucleotide non-coding RNA. NCBI's taxonomy places the organism in Eukaryota, Viridiplantae, Streptophyta, Magnoliopsida, Fabales, Fabaceae. The record is from the annotation of a GenBank genome assembly.